UUGACCUCGGAUCAGGUAGGACUACCCGCUGAACUUAAGCAUAUCAAUAAGCGGAGGAAAAGAAACCAACAGGGAUUGCCCCAGUAACGGCGAGUGAAGCGGCAACAGCUCAGAUUUGGAAUCUGGCCCCCAGGGCCCGAGUUGUAAUCUGGAGAGGAUGCUUCUGGCGCGGCGCCUUCCGAGUUCCCUGGAACGGGACGCCGGAGAGGGUGAGAGCCCCGUACGGUUGGACGCCUAGCCUUUGUGAAGCUCCUUCGACGAGUCGAGUAGUUUGGGAAUGCUGCUCAAAAUGGGAGGUAAAUUUCUUCUAAAGCUAAAUACCGGCCAGAGACCGAUAGCGCACAAGUAGAGUGAUCGAAAGAUGAAAAGCACUUUGAAAAGAGGGUCAAACAGUACGUGAAAUUGUUGAAAGGGAAGCGCCCGUGGCCAGACUUGUGCCCCGCGGACCACCCGGCGCCCUCAGCGCCGGUGCACUCCGCGGGGCGCAGGCCAGCAUCGGUUUUCCUAGGGGGAUAAAGGCGGCGGGAACGUGGCUCCCUCGGGAGUGUUAUAGCCCGCCGCGCCAUGCCCCUGGGGGGACCGAGGACCGCGCUUCGGCAAGGAUGCUGGC
RNAcentral lists this ribosomal RNA (610 nucleotides) under Grosmannia aurea. RNAcentral describes it as "eukaryotic LSU rRNA". It matches the Rfam family "Eukaryotic large subunit ribosomal RNA", at positions 1 to 630 of the family's 3401-position model. Lineage: Eukaryota; Fungi; Ascomycota; Sordariomycetes; Ophiostomatales; Ophiostomataceae. The record is from RNAcentral.